This 584-nucleotide ribosomal RNA is filed under the name uncultured bacterium. RNAcentral's name for it is "bacterial SSU rRNA". It matches the Rfam family "Bacterial small subunit ribosomal RNA", at positions 102 to 672 of the family's 1533-position model. The record is from RNAcentral.
ACGGGUGAGUAACACGUGGGCAACCUGCCCUUGAGACUGGGAUAACUUCGGGAAACCGGAGCUAAUACCGGAUAAUAUAAGGAACCUCCUGGUUCCUUAUUGAAAGAUGGUUUCGGCUAUCACUUAAGGAUGGGCCCGCGGCGCAUUAGCUAGUUGGUGAGGUAACGGCUCACCAAGGCGACGAUGCGUAGCCGACCUGAGAGGGUGAUCGGCCACACUGGGACUGAGACACGGCCCAGACUCCUACGGGAGGCAGCAGUAGGGAAUCUUCCACAAUGGACGAAAGUCUGAUGGAGCAACGCCGCGUGAGUGAUGAAGGCCUUCGGGUCGUAAAGCUCUGUUGUUAGGGAAGAACAAGUGCGAGAGUAACUGCUCGCACCUUGACGGUACCUAACCAGAAAGCCACGGCUAACUACGUGCCAGCAGCCGCGGUAAUACGUAGGUGGCAAGCGUUAUCCGGAAUUAUUGGGCGUAAAGCGCGCGCAGGUGGUUUCUUAAGUCUGAUGUGAAAGCCCACGGCUCAACCGUGGAGGGUCAUUGGAAACUGGGGAACUUGAGUGCAGAAGAGGAAAGUGGAAUUCCAA